GCCGAACGCUGGCGGCGUGCCUAAUCCAUGCAAGUAGAACGCAGUUUCGAACGGGUGAGUAACGCGUAGGUAACUGCCUGGUAGCGGGGGAUCACUAUUGGAAACGAUAGCUAAUACCGCAUACUACCAGAUGGAACUGCGUUGUAUUAGCUAGUUGGUGAGGUAACGGCUCACCAAGGCAACGCUACAUAGCCGACCGUAGAGGGUGAUCGGCCACACCGGGAGUGGGACCCGGCCCAGACGCCUACGGAAGUCAGCAAUAGGGAAUCUUCGUCAAUGGGGGGAGCCCUGACCGAGCAACGCCGCGUGAGUGAAGAAGGUUGUCGGAUCGUAAAGCUCUGUUGUUAAGGAAGCGGUACUUAACCAGAAAGGGACGGCUAACUACGUGCCAGCAGCCGCGGUAAUAC
Molecule: ribosomal RNA, 407 nt
Filed under: uncultured bacterium
Lineage: Bacteria
Description: partial 16S ribosomal RNA
Rfam family: Bacterial small subunit ribosomal RNA
Source: RNAcentral